Molecule: ribosomal RNA, 452 nt
Filed under: uncultured bacterium
Lineage: Bacteria
Description: bacterial SSU rRNA
Rfam family: Bacterial small subunit ribosomal RNA
Source: RNAcentral
UACGGAAGGCAGCAGUGGGGAAUAUUGCACAAUGGGCGCAAGCCUGAUGCAGCCAUGCCGCGUGUAUGAAGAAGGCCUUCGGGUUGUAAAGUACUUUCAGUCGUGAGGAAGGUGUUAAGGUUAAUAACCUUAGCAAUUGACGUUAGCGACAGAAGAAGCACCGGCUAACUCCGUGCCAGCAGCCGCGGUAAUACGGAGGGUGCGAGCGUUAAUCGGAAUUACUGGGCGUAAAGGGCACGCAGGCGGUUAAUUAAGUUGGAUGUGAAAUCCCCGGGCUUAACCUGGGAAUGGCAUUCAAGACUGGUUAGCUAGAGUCUUGUAGAGGGGGUUAGAAUUCCAUGUGUAGCGGUGAAAUGCGUAGAGAUGUGGAGGAAUACCGGUGGCGAAGGCGGCCCCUGGGACAAGACUGACGCUCAUGUGCGAAAGCUGGGGAGCAAACAGGAUUAGAUACC